Molecule: long non-coding RNA, 3481 nt
Filed under: Sorghum bicolor (sorghum)
Lineage: Eukaryota; Viridiplantae; Streptophyta; Magnoliopsida; Poales; Poaceae
Description: long non-coding RNA (SBIC_LNC017521)
Source: RNAcentral
CUUUAGGUUUAAAGUUCUAAUAAAAUUGACGUUAUCGACCGUCAACAAUUCCCCCAAGCUUACCUUUUGCCAGUGCCUUGGCAAACAACCCAAGCCUAGUUAAUAAACUUGGAUCAGGAGUUGCUACAAUACUUCAUUUCACAUAAAUUUUCCUCCGGUCUAACUUUCAAACUUACCCAUUUUACUUUAACCAUGGAGCUUUACAGCUUUUGCAUAAGUCUUGAGUAAUCGAAAGAUAGAACAAUCAAGUCAAGCACUAUGUCUCAAAUUCUUCACAGUACCAAUAUUCUGGAGUUUUGCAAGUUUUUUGAAAUAAAGCUUAGAGCAUGAUUGUAUGACACCUUCAAGUAUCUUAUUUUGUAGUAUUUGUGGAUCUCGCUGAGGCAUUAAUGAGGUUUCGCCUUCCUACAACUAAGGAUAUAUAUAGUGGAGCUUAUAGGAGUGGCAAUAACAAGGAUGAGCAUACUUGUAAUUCAUAUAUUGUAAAGUCAAAUAAUGGAUCUAUAGAGAAUAAAGGCAUACAAUCAAAUCAAGAUGUGUGUGUGUAUGGAAUAUGGUGGAUAGGUGUAUAUAUAGUAUUUAGUGGCUAAUCCUUAUUCUACUUUUGCUCUUUGAAAAUUACUCCCUGCUUAGAACUUUUCACACGAAAACAUGGGUUGUAUUUAUUAUCUCUUUCUCUCUCUCUUUUUUCAUUACUGUGGGAGGUGGGCAUCGAUGUACCCAUUAUUUUAAUUUCUGGGACACUUGUCCAUCUUUUACUUCCUUUUUUUCUUUUUUCUUUUUUUAAAUACAUUUGCGUAGCCACAUGCAUCAUUUGAAUAUAAAUAAUUGGAGAGAAAAUGAUAAGAACUUAGAGGAAUUAAAUGGGGGCUGUCCUAUGGGGUAUAUUUUUGGGUGUUUACUCCUAGUGUAGGAGAAAACAUUUUUUAAGGUGGAUGUGGAUGAAGAUGGAAAAUAAUUGCAUUUACUCCCAGAGUUGGGGCAGUGCAUAUAUAGGUGGAGUGCGUAAGUGAUCUUGAUUUUAAAAGCAUGACAAGACUCUCAUAAGGUAUACUCCAAAGGUUGACUAAGCUCAAUGUAAAGCAAGAAGCAUGAAUGCGCAAAGGUUUUCCUAACUCUAAAUGUAUCAUAUAUGGCUUUGGUAGGAAUUUAAACUUUAUCGUACAAGAGCUCAUCAUGUAAGAUUUUGGGUUUUUAAAAAUAAAUCUCCAGAACUUAGUAAUGCUAGGAGUAAGAUAAAUAGUAGCUUAGACCUUCAUGUAUCAUAUCAAUUACCUAGACUUAGCUUAAACUUAUGCCUCCACAAAUUUUUAGGUUCAGAGUAAAUUCUUGAAGUGGUCAUGUCUAAAACUUAGGAGAAUUCAUGGUUGAAAACUAGGCACUUCGAAGGAAUUAUUGUAGAGCAAUUCUUCAUCAUCUCCAAGACAAAACUUUAAUAUUCUCUAAUUUUUAUUUGACUCUAAACUAGACUGAUUGUAGACACACUCUAUGAUCACACCUUAAUAUAUAUAUAAGUAUUUUGUUUGGGUUUUAUUCAUUUCUAUUGGACUCAAAAGACUCUAAAUAUAUGGACCUUCAUGUGCCAAUAUAUUUUUGGUAUUUUUUUAUAUUUUCUUAUGAUACUAUCGUGAACCUUAAUAUGCUCAUAUAUUUUUGGUACUUUACAACUAUAUAAAAUAGACUCGACAAUCGCCUAGGUUUAGUUACCUGGUAACUAGGGGAUGCCCCUCCCCCAAGAUAGAUAAUUGCAAUAGUUGGUGUUGAUGAUCUUUAGAGUGAGCUAACUGGCAGCGCUCCAUGUGGGUGCCACUAGUAGACUAUUUCCUUGUCAUAAUGUUGUUCCUGUUGAUAUUUGGGAACGCAAUAAGGAAUGGAUCCGCAAGCACACGGAUAUCGGUGAGCACUUCACCCGAGAGGUUAUCCAAAGUAUCGUAUUUAUUGUUUUACCACUAGGAGAAAGAGUGCAUCUAACUAACCUAGUCUAUUACUACUAACCUUUAGGCUACAAAAAUGUUUCUCGAUGUGAGUGAUAUAUAGAGAAGACUACAACCGUAAUCUCUUUCUAACCUUGGUAAGGAUGAUCUACUGUUCUAUUGGGGAAGCUUAUGGAAUCUAGACACCACAGAGGAUGUUCAACCCGCACCUAUAAAUCCUAUCCUUCCUGCUAAUGAGAUAUGGUUUGCAAAGGUAACUCGGAAAUGUCACGUUCCUCGCUACUACCACGGUCCAGCUAGUCAGGAAAUAUCUAUGAGUAUCCUAGCCCAAACACCACGUCUAUGCUAGAGAUGAUUACUCUAGACUAUACGCAAAGAGAUUAAAGUAAACUCAUAAACCAAAGAACAAUAAAACAAGAACUUACUAGAAUUUAGAAGUCAAAAUAUUGAAGAAUCCUAGGAACAAGCUUCGAGUUAGGAGAACAUGAUCCAGCAGGUACAACCUUGGAGUAGACACCGACAGGCAGGGCUUCCUCCGAUCUACACCUCCACUCUAUCUCACACAAUCUAGUAGAAACUAGAAGAUCUAAUUCUACUCACAUUGGAUGCUAAGCCCUAAGUCUAUUUAGAGGAGAGGUAUUUCUUCGAGGGCUCCUCUCAACUCUAUGAUGAACCUGUCUCCUCCUGGGGCCAGGGGGUCUGGUUUUAUAGUCCCCUCAAGUGAACGUGAGCCAUCGGAUCAAACCGACAUUGAUUGAACGGUUAUCCUUGAUCCUUUAGGUUGGUGGAGCUUGGUCCGCGAAAAGAGUUCUGAUUGGAGUCCAGAGGGGGGCGGGUGCCCUGGUCCUCAGGGCGGGCGCCCUGGGCCAGGCCCCUUUCGGUCUCUGCUUUGUUCCCGUGGCUUCUCGAGUCUUCUAGAUGGUAGAAAAUUGCACUGUGCGUUGAUACCUCUAUGUAAUCCCGACAUGUGGGCCUUUCUUCCUUAUUUCAUGAUAACCCCCUACAGAAAUAGAUAAACAACAAAACUCGUGGAAUUCUAUCAGAUCAAACCCUAAUUCUAGGUGUUCUUUGCAUAUUGGUCCUUUCUCUUGUUUAUUUGAUAAUUAAAAUUGAUACUUAAGAACCGUCAACAAAUACCCCCAUACUUAGGCUUUUACUCGUCCUCGAGAAAAGGAUGGUUAAGAAAAAUAUCUGGGGUUAAAACAUUGUAAAGCAUUCUCUUUUAUACCUGCAGGGUGUAAAAAUUCACUGUGUAUCAUAGUUAGGGAAAUAUAUGGUCAAGAGUAGAGGCCCCUUUCUUCUCAAUCAUGUCACUUGGAGUUUUUGUAUAUUUUUGAAAGAAAUUUAGCAUACCUUUUAUCCUCAUAGGUUCUCUCAGGUCAAUCAUUAUCUUUUAUAUAUCUCACUGAGGCUAUUUUAAUUUGCAAAAAUUCUCAAGCAUACUUACCUUGCAUUUAUUGCCUGAUCAAAACGGGAUCCGAGGAGAAGAAUGCCAUACUCUUAGAUCAAAGACUUUGGAAAUUAAAAACUUGUCAACUCUUGCUGGA